This 500-nucleotide ribosomal RNA is filed under the name uncultured bacterium. RNAcentral's name for it is "partial 16S ribosomal RNA". It matches the Rfam family "Bacterial small subunit ribosomal RNA", at positions 30 to 523 of the family's 1533-position model. The record is from RNAcentral.
AUUGAACGCUGGCGGCAUGCCUUACACAUGCAAGUCGAACGGCAGCACGGGAGCAAUCCUGGUGGCGAGUGGCGAACGGGUGAGUAAUAUAUCGGAACGUGCCCAGUCGUGGGGGAUAACGCAGCGAAAGCAGUGCUAAUACCGCAUACGAUCUCUGGAUGAAAGCGGGGGACCGAAAGGCCUCGCGCGAUUGGAGCGACCGAUAUCAGAUUAGCUAGUUGGUGGGGUAAAGGCCCACCAAGGCGACGAUCUGUAGCUGGUCUGAGAGGACGACCAGCCACACUGGAACUGAGACACGGUCCAGACUCCUACGGGAGGCAGCAGUGGGGAAUUUUGGACAAUGGGCGCAAGCCUGAUCCAGCAAUGCCGCGUGCAGGAUGAAGGCCUUCGGGUUGUAAACUGCUUUUGUACGGAACGAAACGGCGAGCUCUAAUAAAGUUUGCUAAUGACGGUACCGUAAGAAUAAGCACCGGCUAACUACGUGCCAGCCGCCGCGGUAA